RNAcentral lists this small RNA (789 nucleotides) under Pongo abelii (Sumatran orangutan). RNAcentral describes it as "processed transcript". Lineage: Eukaryota; Metazoa; Chordata; Mammalia; Primates; Hominidae. The record is from RNAcentral.
AUUCCAGAUGUGCAGCACCAUGAGGGCCCUGGUGCUUCUGCUGUCCCUGUUCCUGCUGGGUGGCCAGGCCCAGCAUGGGUCUGACUGGACCUACUCAGAUUCACGUUGUUCACUACAAUUCUAAAUACAAGAGCUACGAUAUAGCCCAAGAUGCGCCGGAUGGUUUGGCUGUACUGGCAGCCUUCGUUGAGGUGAAGAAUUACCCCGAAAACCCUUAUUACAGCAACUUCAUUUCUCAUCUGGCCAACAUCAAGUACCCAGGACAAACAACAACCCUGACUGGCCUUGACACUCAGGACAUGCUGCCCAGGAACCUCCAGCACUACUACAGCUAUCAUGGCUCGCUCACCACGCCUCCCUGCACUGAGAACGUCCACUGGUUUCUGCUGGCAGAUUUUGUCAAGCUCUCCAGGACGCAGGUUUGGAAGCUGGAGAAUUCCCUACUGGAUCACCGCAAUAAGACCAUCCACAAUGAUUACCGCAGGACCCAGCCCCUGAACCACAGGGUAGUGGAAUCCAACUUCCCGAGUCAGGAAUAUACUCUAGGCUCUGAAUUCCGGUUUUACCUACAUAAGAUUGAGGAAAUUCUUGAGUACUUAAGAAGAGCAUUGAACUGAGGAAAGCUAAGAGGAAGAUUCAAUAUUAACUAGCUUGAAGCCUGACCUAGCCAGAAGAGGUGCCUGUCUGCUGCAGCCGCACCCUGCCUUGUCUAAGAAACCAUGUGUGUCUGGAACACGCUGCUCCCCCUGGGGCAGCUGUUGAAUUUCUGAUUAAAAGAGGGAAACGAUC